GGAGCGCGCUGCGAGAGUGGCUUGCAAUCGGUCUCGAAAACCGAGGGGACCGAAAGGUUCGGGGUUCGAACCCUCAGUGCUCCGCCA
RNAcentral lists this transfer RNA (87 nucleotides) under Methylobacterium sp. WL120. RNAcentral's name for it is "tRNA-OTHER". The record is from RNAcentral. Lineage: Bacteria; Pseudomonadati; Pseudomonadota; Alphaproteobacteria; Hyphomicrobiales; Methylobacteriaceae.